This 253-nucleotide ribosomal RNA is filed under the name uncultured bacterium. RNAcentral describes it as "partial 16S ribosomal RNA". It matches the Rfam family "Bacterial small subunit ribosomal RNA", at positions 524 to 776 of the family's 1533-position model. The record is from RNAcentral.
UACAGAGGGUGCAAGCGUUAAUCGGAAUUACUGGGCGUAAAGCGCGCGUAGGUGGUUCGUUAAGUUGGAUGUGAAAGCCCCGGGCUCAACCUGGGAACUGCAUUCGAGACUGCAUUGCUAGAGUAUGGGAGAGGGAAGUGGAAUUUCCGGUGUAGCGGUGAAAUGCGUAGAUAUCGGAAGGAACAUCAGUGGCGAAAGCGACUUCCUGGACCAAUACUGACGCUCAUGUGCGAAAGCGUGGGGAGCAAACAGG